GUGGGGAAUAUUGGGCAAUGGUCGGAAGACUGACCCAGCCAUGCCGCGUGCAGGAAGACGGCCCUCUGGGUUGUAAACUGCUUUUAUCUGGGAAGAAAAAGGCCAUGCGUGGCAAAUUGCCGGUACCAGAUGAAUAAGCACCGGCUAACUCCGUGCCAGCAGCCGCGGUAAUACGGAGGGUGCGAGCGUUGUCCGGAUUUAUUGGGUUUAAAGGGUGCGUAGGCGGCUGAUUAAGUCAGCGGUGAAAGACUUCGGCUUAACCGGAGCAGUGCCGUUGAUACUGGUUGGCUUGAGUGUCGGAGGGGUACAUGGAAUUGAUGGUGUAGCGGUGAAAUGCAUAGAUACCAUCAGGAACACCGAUAGCGAAGGCAUUGUACUGGCCGACAACUGACGCUGAUGCACGAAAGUGUGGGGAUCGAACAGGAUUAGAUACCCCAGUAGUCC
RNAcentral lists this ribosomal RNA (444 nucleotides) under uncultured bacterium. Its description in RNAcentral is "partial 16S ribosomal RNA". It matches the Rfam family "Bacterial small subunit ribosomal RNA", at positions 354 to 796 of the family's 1533-position model. The record is from RNAcentral.